This is a long non-coding RNA of Prunus persica (peach), 695 nucleotides long. RefSeq lists it as uncharacterized. NCBI's taxonomy places the organism in Eukaryota, Viridiplantae, Streptophyta, Magnoliopsida, Rosales, Rosaceae. The record is from RefSeq and is a predicted model, not a curated record. The transcript has 2 exons.
UUUUCUUUUUCGGUAACCAAUCAAAUCAAAAUCAAAGCAGAGAUCGAAUUGGAGACGGAGAAAAAGAGGCGGCAUUUCUCUCUCUUUCUCUAAAGCCAACUUGCAACGUCUCCUUCUCAUCUUCUUUUAGGUAAAAUCAGUAAAGAAAGAGUGUAGAGACAUAUACAUACGCAAGGUCAAACUUUCUCACCUCCAUUCACCAAACGCCUUUCUUACUCAAGCGCCUCCGACUUUUCGACCAAGCAGAUCAGACAUUUUAUGGAUAAAGCCAGACUUGGAAACGGGGCUCCUGAAGAAGUGACUCGUGAGUCGCUUAUCGCCAUUUCUUACCCUGAACCAGAGAAGAUUAUCACUUCAAAUCUCUCAUCUGGAAAGCUGAAUGGUGGAAAGCUGAACGGUGGAAAGCUGAAUGGUGAAGCUCUGGUUAAAACGAUAGUUUCUGAUGGAGAAGAUAAGUUCAGGUCUGAGCUGAUCUCUAUUUCCUACACCCAGUCACCCGAAGUUGGAUCCUUACCUGUUAACCAUGGGAGAACUUAAAGACUAGGCUGGAAGCCCUUUCUGUAUUGAUAUAAUCAAGUGAUACUGUGUGCAUGGACUUGUAUUCCGUGGAAGCUUUUACAUAUUCUGUAAAAUAAACCUAACAGUUCCUUGGGACAAUGAAUGGAAAUGCAUUUCUGUCUGGCUUCUUUCUUACC